This 570-nucleotide ribosomal RNA is filed under the name uncultured dinoflagellate. RNAcentral's name for it is "SSU rRNA". It matches the Rfam family "Eukaryotic small subunit ribosomal RNA", at positions 497 to 1071 of the family's 1831-position model. Lineage: Eukaryota; Dinophyceae. The record is from RNAcentral.
CAUGUUUUGUAACUGGAAUGGACAGAUGUUAACCUUCUCUGUGAGUAUCAAUUGGAGGGCAAGUCUGGUGCCAGCAGCCGCGGUAAUUCCAGCUCCAAUAGCGUAUAUUAAAGUUGUUGCGGUUAAAAAGCUCGUAGUUGGAUUUCUGCUGAAACAAACCGGUCCGCCCUCUGGGUGAGCAUCUGGUUUUGUUUUGGCAUAUGCUUAGACUUUGCAGCUGCACUUGACUGUGUGGUGCGAAGGCUGAGCCUUUUACUUUGAGGAAAUCAGAGUGUUUCAAGCAGGCCAUUGCCUUGAAUACACUAGCAUGGAAUAAUAUGAUAUGACUGUGGUUUUAUUUUGUUGGCUUUUAGAAUUAAAGUAAUGGUUAAUAGGGAUAGUUGGGGGCAUUCAUAUUUAACUGUCAGAGGUGAAAUUCUUGGAUUUGUUAAGGAUGAACGACUGCGAAAGCAUUUGCCAAGGAUGCUUUCAUUGAUCAAGAACGAAAGUUAGGGGAUCGAAGACGAUCAGAUACCGUCCUAGUCUUAACCAUAAACCAUGCCGACUAGAGAUUGGAGGUCGUUAACUAUA